This 515-nucleotide ribosomal RNA is filed under the name uncultured bacterium. Its description in RNAcentral is "partial 16S ribosomal RNA". It matches the Rfam family "Bacterial small subunit ribosomal RNA", at positions 28 to 523 of the family's 1533-position model. The record is from RNAcentral.
GAUGAACGCUGGCGGCGUGCCUAAUACAUGCAAGUCGAGCGAAUGGAUUGAGAGCUUGCUCCUAUGAAGUUAGCGGCGGACGGGUGAGUAACACGUGGGUAACCUGCCCAUAAGACUGGGAUAACUCCGGGAAACCGGGGCUAAUACCGGAUAACAUUUUGAACCGCAUGGUUCGAAAUUGAAAGGCGGCUUCGGCUGUCACUUAUGGAUGGACCCGCGUCGCAUUAGCUAGUUGGUGAGGUAACGGCUCACCAAGGCAACGAUGCGUAGCCGACCUGAGAGGGUGAUCGGCCACACUGGGACUGAGACACGGCCCAGACUCCUACGGGAGGCAGCAGUAGGGAAUCUUCCGCAAUGGACGAAAGUCUGACGGAGCAACGCCGCGUGAGUGAGGAAGGCUUUCGGGUCGUAAAACUCUGUUGUUAGGGAAGAACAAGUGCUAGUUGAAUAAGCUGGCACCUUGACGGUACCUAACCUGAAAGCCACGGCUAACUACGUGCCAGCAGCCGCAGUAA